CGGUGACACUCCUACGGGAGGCAGCAGUGGGGAAUAUUGCACAAUGGGGGAAACCCUGAUGCAGCCAUGCCGCGUGUGUGAAGAAGGCCUUCGGGUUGUAAAGCACUUUCAGUAGGGAGGAAGGUAGUGUAGUUAACACCUGCAUUAUUUGACGUUACCUACAGAAGAAGCACCGGCUAACUCCGUGCCAGCAGCCGCGGUAAUACGGAGGGUGCGAGCGUUAAUCGGAAUUACUGGGCGUAAAGCGCAUGCAGGCGGCCUGUUAAGUCAGAUGUGAAAGCCCGGGGCUUAACCUCGGAAUUGCAUUUGAAACUGGCAGGCUAGAGUCUUGUAGAGGGGGUAGAAUUUCAGGUGUAGCGGUGAAAUGCGUAGAGAUCUGAAGGAAUACCAGUGGCGAAGGCGGCCCCCUGGACAAAGACUGACGCUCAGAUGCGAAAGCGUGGGGAGCAAACAGGAUUAGAUACCCUGGUAG
RNAcentral lists this ribosomal RNA (472 nucleotides) under uncultured bacterium. RNAcentral describes it as "bacterial SSU rRNA". It matches the Rfam family "Bacterial small subunit ribosomal RNA", at positions 328 to 793 of the family's 1533-position model. The record is from RNAcentral.